AACGCAUAUUGCACUCUCUUUGGAGAGUAUGCCUGUUUGAGAAUCUAUUGUAUUCAUUUUUCUAUAUAAAUUUUAUAUAGAAAAGAGUUGUCAUUACUAUAUAUAAUUAUAUAUAUAUAGUUUGAUAAAAUAGAUUUCAAUGGUCUAGUAUUUUAUACCAAACCAUAGUAAAAACUAUUUGAAUGAAACCUUUAAACCGUUUCUAUUUUCAUAGUGAUUCUAUGGGAAAUACAAUUAGUAUUCAUUGAAUAAAACCAUUAAAGAAAAAAAGUAAUGAUUUUAUCAAUACUUUUUUCUUUGAACCAUGGUCUCAAAUCAGGUAGGAGGACCCGCUGAACUUAA
Molecule: unclassified non-coding RNA, 342 nt
Filed under: uncultured fungus
Lineage: Eukaryota; Fungi
Description: partial contains ITS1, 5.8S rRNA and ITS2
Source: RNAcentral